UACUGCCCCAUGUAUAGGAAGAGAUUCCUUU
Molecule: non-coding RNA, 31 nt
Filed under: Mus musculus (house mouse)
Lineage: Eukaryota; Metazoa; Chordata; Mammalia; Rodentia; Muridae
Source: RNAcentral